This is a long non-coding RNA of Corticium candelabrum, 454 nucleotides long. RefSeq lists it as uncharacterized. NCBI's taxonomy places the organism in Eukaryota, Metazoa, Porifera, Homoscleromorpha, Homosclerophorida, Plakinidae. The record is from RefSeq and is a predicted model, not a curated record. The transcript is spliced from 4 exons.
CAAAAAAUCGUCUAGCCUAUCCAACGUUUCAUGGAAGGCGAGUAAUAGUCUUGGCUGUUGGUUCAAUCCAACUCCACACUGUAUCAAGCACAUUUCUCGACACAAAACACUCUGCGGAUGCAAGGUCUUACUCGAGAACACUAAUCUUGUUUUCAAGUUCCACUAUUUCAUUUGCUUGCUGUUCAAUUAUCGGAGGAUCACUAGACUAUUAUCAUAUUCACGUCUUGAUCAACUGCAGCUGCGAAUGAAGUAGAACAGCCUCUGCUUUCUGAUUUAGACAUUACAGCUAUGGAAUAGCUAGUGCGUGUGUGUUGUGUUACUCUAGACAUAACUGUUGUUGGGACUGGUAGGCUGGCAGCUAAAAAGUGCUAGUAAAAAACAGACUGUAGUGUACGUGUACUGUACUCUGAUCUGCCUCAGUACCUAUUGAGUGCAAUUUAUCACAGUAACAUUU